UUCCUCUGAUGACUUCGUGUUAGUGCCAUGUGUCUGGGCCACUGAAACCUCAUGAUGGAACUGAGGAUCUGAGGAA
Molecule: small nucleolar RNA, 76 nt
Organism: Castor canadensis (American beaver)
Lineage: Eukaryota; Metazoa; Chordata; Mammalia; Rodentia; Castoridae
Source: Ensembl